GUAGCUCAGUUGGUUAGAGUGCCGGCCUGUCACGCCGGAGGUCGCGGGUUCGAGCCCCGUCACUCGCGCCA
RNAcentral lists this transfer RNA (71 nucleotides) under Sphingomonas sp. LH128. RNAcentral's name for it is "tRNA-Asp". It matches the Rfam family "tRNA". From Rfam's summary of the family: Transfer RNA (tRNA) molecules are approximately 80 nucleotides in length. Their secondary structure includes four short double-helical elements and three loops (D, anti-codon, and T loops). Further hydrogen bonds mediate the characteristic L-shaped molecular structure. tRNAs have two regions of fundamental functional importance: the anti-codon, which is responsible for specific mRNA codon recognition, and the 3' end, to which the tRNAs corresponding amino acid is attached (by aminoacyl-tRNA synthetases). tRNAs cope with the degeneracy of the genetic code in two manners: having more than one tRNA (with a specific anti-codon) for a particular amino acid; and 'wobble' base-pairing, i.e. permitting non-standard base-pairing at the 3rd anti-codon position. RNAcentral also lists the same sequence under 1 other name. The record is from RNAcentral. Lineage: Bacteria; Pseudomonadati; Pseudomonadota; Alphaproteobacteria; Sphingomonadales; Sphingomonadaceae.